CACCAGGCGCGAAAACUUUGCAAUACACGAAAGUGUGACAGGGUCAUCCCGAGUGCCGACCGCUGAGGUUGGCUUUUACCCAGUCUAGAAAGCUGGGGGAAUAAGGAGAGGGCAAGUCUGGUGUCAGCCGCCGCGGUAAUACCAGCUCUCCGAGUGGUGUGGACGUUUAUUGGGCCUAAAGCAUCCGUAGCUGGCUGAACAAGUCCCCUGUUAAACCCACCGAUUUAAUCGUUGGUCUGCGGGGGAUACUGCUCGGCUAGGGGACGAGAGAGGCAGACGGUAUUCCCGGGGUAGGGGUGAAAUCCUAUAAUCCCGAGAAGACCACCAGUGGCGAAGGCUGUCUGCUAGAACGCGCCCGACGGUGAGGGAUGAAAGCUGGGGGAGCGAACCGGAUUAGAUACCCGGGUAGUCCCAGCUGUAAACGAUGCAGACUAGGUGUUUGGACGGCCACGUGCCGUUCUAGUGCCGCAGGGAAGCUGUUAAGUCUGCCGCCUGGGGAGUACGAUCGCAAGAUUGAAACUUAAAGGAAUUGGCGGGGGAGCAC
Molecule: ribosomal RNA, 544 nt
Filed under: uncultured archaeon
Lineage: Archaea
Description: bacterial SSU rRNA
Rfam family: Archaeal small subunit ribosomal RNA
Source: RNAcentral